GCAAAUUCUAUGGUUUAUAUUUCUUUUCUUCUUUCUUCUGUUUUUCUCUUAUCUUCACACGUUUUGACACAUGAACAAUUUAAAGAAAAUUCUAUGAUAAAUGUUGAUUGGUAUGAUCCUUCCGGAACUUGAUUUAAGAUGCGACCAACACUUGGUCCGGGUAGGAUUCUUCCUCCUGAUUCUCAUUAUUUUCGUUCGUGGUCGGAACGAGUUAAUGUUUGGCCUGAUCGUUUUUUUGGCUCGCCAAAAAAUAAGCACAACCCCGCCUCUUCUCCACCACACCCUCCACCAACUAAAAUGGAUCACCAUACUCACUCACUUGCAUUUCAUUACAAUGACGGUUUUAUAUCAGGUAAGAGAAGUCACGUGAUUCGAAAUCGGACGGGUCGGUUUCAUCAUCCUCAUUCUUGGGCGGACCAUUUCGAUUCUUGGCCUGGUCAUGCUUCGAAAAAACCGGCUCUUCAACCGCGACCCAAGAAAAAUAAGCGACGGCCUCCUCCGCCAACUAAUUAAUAAAAUGAACGGAAUUAUUUAAUAAUAAAAAAGUAUUAAUAAAAAAUAAUUAAAAUUUAUCUUAUUUAAUAUUUAUUAAUUAUUAUAAUAAUUAAUGAAUAUUAAAUAAAAUAAAUUUUGACUAUUUUUUUGUUAACAUAACA
Arachis stenosperma is the source of this 656-nucleotide long non-coding RNA. RefSeq lists it as uncharacterized. NCBI's taxonomy places the organism in Eukaryota, Viridiplantae, Streptophyta, Magnoliopsida, Fabales, Fabaceae. The transcript has 3 exons. The record is from RefSeq and is a predicted model, not a curated record.